RNAcentral lists this ribosomal RNA (253 nucleotides) under uncultured bacterium. RNAcentral describes it as "partial 16S ribosomal RNA". It matches the Rfam family "Bacterial small subunit ribosomal RNA", at positions 524 to 776 of the family's 1533-position model. The record is from RNAcentral.
UACGUAGGGUGCGAGCGUUGUCCGGAAUUACUGGGCGUAAAGAGCUCGUAGGUGGUUUGUCGCGUUGUUCGUGAAAACUCACAGCUUAACUGUGGGCGUGCGGGCGAUACGGGCAGACUAGAGUACUGCAGGGGAGACUGGAAUUCCUGGUGUAGCGGUGAAAUGCGCAGAUAUCAGGAGGAACACCGGUGGCGAAGGCGGGUCUCUGGGCCGAAACUGACGCUGAGGAGCGAAAGCGUGGGGAGCGAACAGG